UACGUAGGGCGCAAGCGUUGUCCGGAAUUAUUGGGCGUAAAGAGCUUGUAGGCGGUUUGUCGCGUCUGCUGUGAAAAUCCGGGGCUCAACCCCGGACUUGCAGUGGGUACGGGCAGACUAGAGUGUGGUAGGGGAGACUGGAAUUCCUGGUGUAGCGGUGAAAUGCGCAGAUAUCAGGAGGAACACCGGUGGCGAAGGCGGGUCUCUGGGCCGUAACUGACGCUGAGGAGCGAAAGCGUGGGGAGCGAACAGG
RNAcentral lists this ribosomal RNA (253 nucleotides) under uncultured bacterium. RNAcentral describes it as "partial 16S ribosomal RNA". It matches the Rfam family "Bacterial small subunit ribosomal RNA", at positions 524 to 776 of the family's 1533-position model. The record is from RNAcentral.